RNAcentral lists this small RNA (471 nucleotides) under Pongo abelii (Sumatran orangutan). RNAcentral's name for it is "processed transcript". Lineage: Eukaryota; Metazoa; Chordata; Mammalia; Primates; Hominidae. The record is from RNAcentral.
ACGGGAUUACUAUGACGACUUCUUGCAGCGGCUUCUAGAACAGGGCAUCCACAGUGACGUGGUCUUUGUAGUACACGGGAAGCCAUUCCGGGUGCAUCGUUGCAUCCUGGGUGCACGUAGUGCCUACUUUGCCAACAUGCUGGACACCAAAUGGAAGGGCAAGAGUGUCGUGGUUCUCAGGCACCCACUGAUCAACCCCGUGGCCUUUGGGGCCUUGCUGCAGUACCUGUACACAGGCCGCCUGGACAUUGGCGUAGAGCAUGUGAGUGACUGUGAGCGCCUGGCCAAGCAAUGCCAGUUGUGGGACCUGCUCAGCGACCUGGAGGCCAAGUGCGAGAAGGUGUCUGAGUUUGUCACGUGCUCUACUACGUGUACAGCGACCACACUGAGCUGUCCCCCGAGGCAGCCUACGACGUGCUGAGCGUCGCCGACAUGUACCUGCUGCCAGGCCUGAAGAGGCUGUGCGGCCGC